ACCGCGCGAAGCUUCCGACUCGCAGCCACCGCGCGCCUUGCGCAUGCGCGCUGCGGGGUGCGCGCCGAGGGCGUCUCCCCUCCCGGGGAUGCUCCGCUCCGGGUUUUCCUAGAGACCUGGGUCUGGAGGGGGUCGGGAAACCUGUGGGUCGGCCGCUGGGCUGUCCCCAGACUCCGGCCCGGACUUCGGGUAGCGUCGGGCUUUUUUGAGCCAGGGAGUCUCUGAAGGGGCUCAAGGCAAAGUUGAGGCGGCCUGAGGGGAGGAGGACAACUUUGAUUUUUAGUUUCACUCAACUCGCUGUCUUCUCACCUCCCUUCCCCACAACAACUUUCUCUUCCGGGGUCAGAAAGGGGCACCCCAUGCGGGCAGUGGGCGCCGCGAGGUGAGGCGGUCGGGUGGCUCACCUGCCGCUGAGGCACUCGUGUACUCGCGGCUCACAGCAGCCCCAGAGGGGCGAGCGGGCCACGUCCCCACCCGGGGCUCGGGCACCGCCUGCAGACUCCGCGGCCCGGGGAGCCGGUCUUCCGCAACCUUGGUUUUGUUCGUAUGCACAACACCAGGAAAUCGCCCUGUCCAUGCCACCAGGAGCGUGGGAGUCAGAGAGUGCGAUUGUCCGCCAGGAGCCCACGUGCGGAAACGCGCCGCCGAAGGUGAGGCUGUGAGCCGAGGUCAGCCCAGCCGGACGUUGGCGCCUGGCGACUCUCCUGGGCUGGGGCGGAGGGAGAGGAUGCCGAGUGAGCAUCCUCCACCCGGCUUCUGCCUUUCUGCGAUGACAGCCGUCCCUUACAAGGGCAAUAGGCAGCCCUAGGAGUCGCUGGGGAGGACCUGGCAAGCUCGCUACUACCAUUCUCUGGCCCCGGACCGGAACCCCGAACUGCCCUUAUUCUGUAACCGUCUGCACCACAAUCCCCAUCUCCGAAUAACCAAACUCGCUUCUUCCCAAAGGGUUACCAGUCAAGGCCAGUCGCAUGAAUGCAUGGUUUUGGGGUGGGGGUGGGGAGGUCUCCUCCGACUCCCAGCCCGGCUAGCCCUUGUCCUAAAGUAUACUCAAAGUUCCACCUGUGGCCCCUGCCGCGUCACCAGGCCGGCUCUCUCACACUCGCUCAGCCCCAGAGCUGCUAUAGCUAAAAUCUGGAGCCAGGGAAUUCCCAAUUCUGCAGAAGACUGAAAACGCCGAGCAUGCUCAAUGGCCAAGUUUGUCCUGAAACUAGUUUGCAAACUUUCCUGUCAGUUCGGCGAUGAAGCGGUUUAGGAGGCAACGCUGAAUCCUUUGGAAUGUACUAGGAGCGUGCCUUUCUUCCCGACGGGCCUCUGCAUCAGCGUCAUGGUCUUCUCCAUUUAAACAGGAACAUAUAGGGUGAAGCCUAGAGGAAGCUCCCUAGCAGCCUUUCCUUGGGUUGUGGCAAUGCUUUCCAUUUGUAUAAUGCUUUAAAGUUUAAAAGAACACGGUUGCAUGCAAUACCUCACUUGAUCAAAAGAAUUCAGUGAGUCUCUACCGUGGCUCUUCAACAAAAUAGCAUUGGAAGUCAAAAGAUUCACCCCUAUUCUGACUCGGCUUCUCACGUCCAACCAGAGCAGAUGAGUAUAAGGUCCCUAACAACUGUAAAAGCGCCAUAAUUUUUCCUCUUCUUCAAAAUGUCCUCCUAAGAAUACCGUUAGCAUAAAUAAAUGGUGGAAAUUCCGCCAUCAUAAGUUAUCCUAUCAGGUUCUUGUUUCAUGUUUUUUUUUUUUCUUUUUUAAGAUAUUUGUUUGAAAGCCAGAGUUACAUAGAAGGAGAGACAGAGAGAGAUCUUCCAUCUACUGGUUCACUCCCCAGAUGGCUGCAACAGCCGGACUGGGCUAGGCCAAAGCCAUGAGCCAGAGGCUUCAUCUGGGUCUCCCAUGCGGAUGGCAAGGGCCGAACACUUGGGUCAUCUUUCACUGCUUUUCUCAGGCCAUUAGCAGGGAACUGGAUUGGAAGUGGAGCAGCCAAGAUUCAAACCAUUGCCCAUAUGGGGUGCUGACGUCACAGUGAGUGGCUCUACCCAUUACACUACAAUGUCAGUCCCAGGCUCUUGGUUUUGUGAACCUCCAUUUUUCCAUUAUCGCUUUUUAUUUCCCACUUCCCAAAGUAACUAUCAACAUGUUACCCAGUUAGUAGUCUCUCCUACCCAGAGCUCCUUAUCCUCCUUUCUUUAAAUAUUCAUCUAUGGGGCCAGCGCUGUGGCAUAGUGCAUAAAACCUCCGCCUGAAGUACAUGGGUGCCGGUUUGAGUCCUGGCUACUCCACUUCCAAUACAACUCUCUGCUAUGGCUAAGGAAAGCAAUAGAAGAUGGCCCAAGUCCUUGGACCCCUGAACCCAAGUGAGGGACUGAAGGAGGCCUUUGGCUCCUGGCUUCAGAUCGGCGCAGCUCCUGCCGUUGUGGCCAUUUGGGGAGUGAACCAAUGGAUGGAAGAUCUCUCUCUCUUUCUCUCUUGGCCUCUGCCUCUCUAACUCUGCCUUUCAAAUAAUAAAUAAAUAAAUCUUAAAAAAAUUCAUCUGUCUCUUUCUCCCUCUUUACUUGGAAAAAAUAAUGCAAAAGCAUAUUUGUUAAGAGUGGUUGGCAGUUAUAGACAACACAACAAAUAAAUAAUUUCUCUAAUUUAAUAGGCCCUCUCAGUAGUUCAUAAAAACGAAAGAACAUGAAAUGUCAGAUUCCACUGUUAGACCUUUGAAUCUCAAAGCAGGCAAUAUUUGUAUGAAACAUAUGUUUUAAUAUUUAUACAUUAAAGUUUUAAUAUUUCUAAUCAUAUUUAACAUCUAUGAUGUUUUACCACUUACACAAACUAUAGUAUAUAUCAUCUUUGUUUUAAAUCUGAAUGGGUAUAAAUUUAUUUGAUCCAUUUCAUCCCCUCUUGGAAGGCUAAUGUGACUAGUCAUUGCCAUAACUAAAGGUGACCAGCAGGAGAAAGACCAAGAAGACAAGACUGUCCAUGGCAGGACACUCUCUGGAGGUGGCUGAAGCACACUGUGACUUAGUUAAGAAUAAUAAAUAAGUUGCCCUCCAAGUGUGAGCUAGGAGUAGUGUUUGUGUUUCCCCAUGACUAGCUACCUGAUCUUUGGCACUCCCAGAGGAAGGAAAUUGGGUUGUGUGCAUCUGUAGACCAAAGAGAAGGAAGUGGAAAAUGUACCAAGAGGACAGCCAAAGGGGAAAUGGUUUUAAAGAAAAAACAAACUGAACCUGGAGGAAAAAUAUAACUACAUAGAAUGGGAAUGGAAUGCAGAUGAUGUGAUAACCUGUAAGACUAUGAAAAAUAAGUCAUUAUUAUUAUUUUGCCGAUAGUGUUGAAGCUCUAUGGUAGAAGCCCCAAACCGACUUAACAAUAUUUAUACUCCUGAAAUAUGUAAACCCUUUGUAUAAAGGCAAGAUUAACUUUUCUCUAUGAAGUGAUAAAAUAAGAAUGUAUAGAUCAUAUCCCUAGGCUGACUCUGUGAACUAUUUAAAAAUAUGCAGGGGCAGGUGUUUAGUGCAGUGAUUAAGACAUUGCUUGGGACAACCUUACCCCAUAUCAAAGGGCCUGAGUUUGAGUCCCAGCUUCACUUCCAAUUUCAGCUUCCUGCUAAUAUGCGCCCUGGGAAGCAGCAGGUGAUGGCUGUGGUGUAGUGAGUAAAGCUACUGCCUGCAGUGCCGGCAUCCCAUAUGGGUGCUGGUUCGAGACCCGGCUGCUCCACUUCUGAUCCAGCUCUCUGCUAUGGCUUGGGAA
Molecule: non-coding RNA, 3723 nt
Organism: Oryctolagus cuniculus (rabbit)
Lineage: Eukaryota; Metazoa; Chordata; Mammalia; Lagomorpha; Leporidae
Source: RefSeq, a predicted model, not a curated record